Non-coding RNA from Cajanus cajan (pigeon pea), 2359 nucleotides. The record is from RefSeq and is a predicted model, not a curated record. Lineage: Eukaryota; Viridiplantae; Streptophyta; Magnoliopsida; Fabales; Fabaceae.
CCUCUCCUCUCUCUUGCUCUCAAUUUAUAAUAUAGUGCGACUCUGUUUCACUCAUCAUUCGUUUGGGUUUUUCACUGUCAAUCAUGUUCGAUCACUUUUCAGUUGUUGUUUGUCUUCGUUACUCACUAGGAUUUUAAGCGUUCUGUAGUACCUCUUCCAUGUCCUUCUUUUCUCUUUCUUUACCUUGUGAUUACUUUUCCUUCUUUGAUCUUGCUUUUCUCUUCUUUACCUUGUGAUUGCUUUUCCUUCUUUGAUUUUGAAGUUAACUCGAUUCUUGUUUCUAUGGUUUUUGAUUCUCUCUGUUUUUUUUUUCUUCUGUUUGGAGUGCUAUGAGAGACUGGAUCCUUCGCUGUCCUCAUUGCUGUUUUUGAUUCCUCUUUCUGGGUCUAGGUUCUUUCUUGAACUUGCGUUUUCUUGUUUUUAAAACCGGUGUUUUUCUUUUUUUGGAGUGCUAUGAUGAGACUGGAUCCUUCUCUGUCCUUAUUGCUGUUUUUGAUUCCUCUUUCUGGGUCUAGGUUCUUUCUUGAACUUGCGUUUUCUUGUUUUUAAAACCGGUGUUUUUCUUUUUUUGGAGUGCUAUGAUGAGACUGGAUCCUUCUCUGUCCUUAUUGCUGUUUUUGAUUCCUCUUUCACGUUCUGGGUCUUGGUUCUUUCUUGAACUUGCGUUUUCUUGUUUUCCAAACCGGUGUUUUUUUCAUGUUUUUUUAAAAUUUUUUAUUUAUUUAUUUUGAUUGCAUGCAUGAACAAGAAUGAUGAUAGAGGAUACUAAUCCGCUGUAUGCAAAUUUCAAUGGUCAUGUUUCCGUUGUAUUUCAGGUGUUGGGACUUGGGGCUGCUGGGCUAGGCUGGUGUGUGAUCUUGCAUCUCGACAAGAGGUACAAGAAGUGUGUUGUUUUUUCUUUGGUGAAUUCAAGAAUUGUUUUCUGUCACUUGGUUUAAUUUAAUCUAUACUACUUUUUCUACAAAAUGACCGGAGUGCACAUUUCUGGGGAUGAUUUUAAGAUGCAACAAACCGAAAAUCUUUUUGUCAUGUCGAAGAGAUGCCAGAGGAAGAAGCAGUGGCAUUGCAAGACGCCAUCGGACAAGACUGCCUAAGAUUGAAACUCUUCUUAAAGGUAAAGCUUGCUCUGGAAUAAAAGAAACUGCAACUAGUUUGACAAAACAUCUUGCACAAAGAGCUCAGGAGACCUUUGAAGAAUUUGAAGUGGAAAUCGAGAAAGAUGCUAUAAAGACUGCAGUAACAGAUGGAACUGUCCAUCCUUUGACACGCUCUGUGAUUAACUAUGAUCUUUAUCGUAGAUCUGAUCUUCACAUAUUUGACCUGGUCAAAAUUCUUUAAACUUUGCAGCUAUCAAUCCACUUUGAUGCAGCUUUUUCUGGAAUUUGAGAGUGGUGAUGAUUUUUCACAGCUAGCAUAUGUAACUGUGUGAAUAAUGCAAGCUUUGCAAACCAAUAUUCAUUAUAUUGUAAGAUGGGUUUGGAGGUCUGAGGCCAAGGAUUUGCUGGGGGAUGACUGAAGCCAACGACAUAGGAGGAUUGUUCAACAGCAUGCAAAUCAAUAAAAAAGAAAUGCUUGGGCAAAGGUCUUGUUCUAGUGACCUUGCUGACCAUUACAUGUCUUGCAGCUUUCUUAGAUGUCACUUGGAUAAUGCCUCUUCUGUUCUUGGUCUGAGGCCAAGGAUUUGCUAGGGGAUGACUGAAGCCAAGGCCUGAAGCCAAUGACAUAGGAGGGUUGUUCAGCAGCAUGCAAAUCAAUAAAAAAGAAAUGUUUGGGCAAAGGUCUUCUUCUAGUGACCUUGCUGACCAUUACAUGUCUUGCAGCUUUCUUAGAUGUCACAUGGAUAAUGAUUGAUCAGUGCUUAUCUAUUUAGGGCCUUUGCCCAUCAGGUGGCAGGAGUGAUACUGGUUGCGGCGAUGGUGGAACUUGAAGCAGUAGUGGUGCUUCAUUUAGGACUGGUAGCCUUUCAGAUGCUUCUUUAUGAGUAAUGUCUUUACUUGUUUUGACAUGUCUACAUGUAUUAUGUUAUUAGGUUUAAGAAAUUGAAUGUUAUGUUUGAGGAACUCCAUUAGAGAUAAUCUCAGUGGACAGUUCCUGACAUCGAUCUGCAAGAGUCUCUCAGGCUUGUAGUUGCUGAAGUCUUGUUGGUAGCCUAUAGAUCGUUUGUCAAUCGUUUUGGGUGGGUUCUCAUUUUAAUUUAUGUCAUUCCUAUUUAAUAUGUAGAGGAAUAAUUGUAUCCAUGAAUAUGAAAUGAUGUCUUUUUCCCCAUUGAAACAAAAAUACAUUUACUUAUGUUUGCUUUUGAUGCCUUGUGGUUUUUGUAUGAUUUAUUAGUACCUUGCAAUAAGUGCAUAAUUGGGAA